UAGGGAAUCUUCCGCAAUGGGCGAAAGCCUGACGGAGCAACGCCGCGUGAGUGAUGAAGGUCUUCGGAUCGUAAAACUCUGUUAUUAGGGAAGAACAAAUGUGUGGGUAACUAUGCACGUCUUGACGGUACCUAAUCAGAAAGCCACGGCUAACUACGUGCCAGCAGCCGCGGUAAUACGUAGGUGGCAAGCGUUAUCCGGAAUUAUUGGGCGUAAAGCGCGCGUAGGCGGUUUUUUAAGUCUGAUGUGAAAGCCCACGGCUCAACCGUGGAGGGUCAUUGGAAACUGGAAAACUUGAGUGCAGAAGAGGAAAGUGGAAUUCCAUGUGUAGCGGUGAAAUGCGCAGAGAUAUGGAGGAACACCAGUGGCGAAGGCGACUUUCUGGUCUGUAACUGACGCUGAUGUGCGAAAGCGUGGGGAUCAAACAGG
This 429-nucleotide ribosomal RNA is filed under the name Actinomycetes bacterium. RNAcentral's name for it is "Actinobacteria bacterium partial 16S ribosomal RNA". It matches the Rfam family "Bacterial small subunit ribosomal RNA", at positions 355 to 776 of the family's 1533-position model. Lineage: Bacteria; Bacillati; Actinomycetota; Actinomycetes. The record is from RNAcentral.